This 67-nucleotide transfer RNA is filed under the name Scoloplos cf. armiger CB-2006. RNAcentral's name for it is "tRNA-Asp". Lineage: Eukaryota; Metazoa; Annelida; Polychaeta; Orbiniidae. The record is from RNAcentral.
GAAAACCUAGUUAAAUAAAUAACAUAGAGUUGUCAACCCUAAAUUAUCAACCUUUUGAUGGUUUUCU